RNAcentral lists this unclassified non-coding RNA (420 nucleotides) under Hevea brasiliensis (rubber tree). The record is from RNAcentral. Lineage: Eukaryota; Viridiplantae; Streptophyta; Magnoliopsida; Malpighiales; Euphorbiaceae.
GAAAAAUCAUAAUUUCAUAGUUUUUUACUUUGAAAAUAUAAUUAAGUUAUAAUUUCAUUAAUGUUACUCCUAUUUGACAGUAUUAAUUGUUUGAGUAGCCCUAGUUAACAUUUGCAUAAAUGUUUCUCAUAUUUACGUAGUUAAUAGGCUAUUCUAAAUUUUAGGCAAGAACAGUGGAAUAUGAUGAAGAUGAGGAUAUUCCCAUUCGAUAUUUGGGAAUUAGCAAUAGUGAAAAAGUGAGUUUAACUUUGUAGUGAACAUGAACAUAGGUUUAUUGGAUUGAAAUUUAUGUUUUAGGGUUUAACUUUUAUGCUGGGAACCACUGGAUUUUUUUAUAAUUUUGUUUUAGUUAAAUUAUUUUAUAGAUUGGAUUUAGCCUCUAUUUAUUUUACAAAAAAUACUUUCUAUAUAUUUUAAAAA